RNAcentral lists this ribosomal RNA (651 nucleotides) under Triticum aestivum (bread wheat). Its description in RNAcentral is "partial small subunit ribosomal RNA". Lineage: Eukaryota; Viridiplantae; Streptophyta; Magnoliopsida; Poales; Poaceae. The record is from RNAcentral.
CAGUUUUCUGGCAAGACUGAUCAGAUUAGUUGGGUGUUGGGUAAAAAAGGUAAAUUCUCGACCAAAUCGUUCUAUACCUACUUGGAAAGGCAGCUGGCUGGAUGUGACUAUAGAUGGAUUUGGAAAGCAAAAAUCCCCCUUAAAAUCCAAAUUUUUCUUUGGCAAGUGUUUCAAGACGCGGUUCUGACUAGAGAAGUCAUGAGAAAGCGCAACUGGGCAGGAAAUCUUAAAUGCUCUUUUUGUGAUAAUGUGGAGACCUCACAGCAUCUUUUCUUUACGUGUCCUGUGGCUCGGGUGGUAUGGAGGACGGUUGGAUGUGUGCUGGGCACAUCUUUAUGUCCAAAUAACAUUUGGCAGUACUAUUCCUGGUGUUAUAUUUUCCUUCCUGAUGGAACUAAACUUUACACCUCUGGUUUGGCAGCAGUUUGUUGGGCGAUAUGGAACAAUCGUAACCAAGCUACUUUUGAACAUAAAGACUUCAAAAGCCCUUUUAAUGUGGUGUAUGCUGCUUGUGGUUUUUUGAUGUACUGGGCAGGUUUGAUGGCUGGCGAUGAUCGGGAGGCCAUGGAGCGCGGAGCCAAGAUGCUCAGGUCCAGUGCUUCGAUGAUGAUGAGAAUCUGCGCGGCUCCAACCAACUCAGCUUCGAACUGA